GCCAGAGUGGAGUAGAGGUUUGAGCACUGGAGUAUGACUCUGGAGUCCAGGGUUCAAUUCCCUGCUAAGCCA
Phrynosoma platyrhinos (Desert horned lizard) is the source of this 72-nucleotide non-coding RNA. NCBI's taxonomy places the organism in Eukaryota, Metazoa, Chordata, Lepidosauria, Squamata, Phrynosomatidae. The record is from the annotation of a GenBank genome assembly.